This 29-nucleotide non-coding RNA is filed under the name Rattus norvegicus (Norway rat). The record is from RNAcentral. Lineage: Eukaryota; Metazoa; Chordata; Mammalia; Rodentia; Muridae.
UCUGCACAAACAUAGAUUCCCAGUGAUGC